UACGGAGGAUCCAAGCGUUAUCCGGAAUCAUUGGGUUUAAAGGGUCCGUAGGCGGGCCUGUAAGUCAGUGGUGAAAUCCGGCGGCUUAACCGUCGAACUGCCAUUGAUACUGCAGGUCUUGAAUUAUUGGGAAGUAACUAGAAUAUGUAGUGUAGCGGUGAAAUGCUUAGAUAUUACAUGGAAUACCGAUUGCGAAGGCAGGUUACUGCGGGUGGAUUGACGCUGAUGGACGAAAGCGUGGGGAGCGAACAGG
Molecule: ribosomal RNA, 253 nt
Filed under: uncultured bacterium
Lineage: Bacteria
Description: partial 16S ribosomal RNA
Rfam family: Bacterial small subunit ribosomal RNA
Source: RNAcentral